UCAGGAGGGACUCCGGAUGUUCAGGAGGUCAAGCCACACACCGACCUGAUACAGAGAAAAAGGAAUCAGGUGGAAAGUCAAUCGGAAGUCGGCGAGGACUCCAGCACUGUGAGGUCCUUCGGGUUGCCCCCUUGCUUUAAGGAGGAGGGUUUCUUCGAGGGAUUUCCCUUGUCCGUGAGUCCUGACGAAGCUGAAACCAUCAGGCGGAUGAACAAGGAAAGCCGGAGAAGGCACCUGGCCGCCAAUAUGGUCGGGCUGGUGAAGAUGGUCGAGAUGGCCGUUGUACUGGCCGAGGAGGGGGAGGACGCUGACCGUAUCAAAGAGUUAGAACAGGAGAAAGCUGCCCUCACCUCGGGCUCGCGAAAGUUGAAGGCUGCUCUGGAGCGCUUCGAGGAGAUGUUUCGCAAGCAAGCCGAGCUACUAGCGACGGAGACAGUUACUGGCUCUUGA
Non-coding RNA from Vicia faba (fava bean), 450 nucleotides. Lineage: Eukaryota; Viridiplantae; Streptophyta; Magnoliopsida; Fabales; Fabaceae. The record is from the annotation of a GenBank genome assembly.